Long non-coding RNA from Dermacentor silvarum, 1090 nucleotides. RefSeq lists it as uncharacterized. Lineage: Eukaryota; Metazoa; Arthropoda; Arachnida; Ixodida; Ixodidae. The transcript is spliced from 3 exons. The record is from RefSeq and is a predicted model, not a curated record.
AGGCGAAGCUCACUGUGUGCGUAGACACCAGUGCAUAAGCAGCAGCAAUAGAGCAACAGCUCAUCAUGAGUCUCACCAAAGCAGCUGUUCUUAUCUUCUCCACGACCAUGUUCUUGUCUGAGUGGCACUGUUCCGACGGCUACGUUUCCAUCGGACGGGUUCCUGUCGAAAAUGGUAAAUGUCAGUACAAUGGCACAGAGAUACCACCGGGUGAGCCUCUGAAGCUGGAGCAUCCUUGCGAAGAAUGGGACUGUGAUCCAUCUACCGGAGAACUCUCUAUAACAGGUUGCGGGCGUGUGGAACCGGGUCGCGGCUGCAUUUUAAUCAAAGGCAGGGGAGUUUAUCCGAAGUGCUGCGGCCAGGUAGCCUGCUACUAGAGGUCUUCGACGGCUUCGAGUUUCACACUGUGCUCGACGCCUUCAAGCGCCAUGGUGACGGGAGAUAACUGCUGUGGGAAUAUCACAUGCACGGUGGUUUAACGUUUACAAUCAUGCACAAAUCUUCACUGCUGAGUUGAGAUAUGUAAAAACCCCUUCAAGACCUUAUAGCUUCCGGCAAUCACCUCCAAAAUUACAUAAGAAAGAACUUUAGCCAUGAUUUAGAUGCUUCAAUUAAGGGUGUUGUUACUUCUAUACAGCACUGUUAUUCUCUAUGAAAGAAAGAUAAAAUAUAUGCUUUAUCACUGUGGCUCAGUAGUCCUGAUUCGUAGAAACAUUUGCACGCCUUCAGGGUUGCGAAACGUGAGCUUGUUCCACUACGGACAAAAGACUGGACUACGGGUUCCAAUAUCUUACAUAGCUGUGGUUUUCAGCACAUUCCAAGGCAUACAGUAUUUUGCAGUGCAUCUUUUUUGGCUCUCUAGGGACUGCUGUUCGAUGAAGGAGGCAUUAUGAGGUUAAGAAUGCUCCCGUAUUUUUAGAGUGGGCCAGGAUUCUUUCAAUUAGUUAAGUUAGAAGCGUAAUGCCUUUGUGCAUUUUGGUUUCCUCUUUGUGACUUCUGAACACAUUUUACAUCGAAUAUGAAUAGCCAUAUCGAGCUCUUUGCACAAGAGCUUUUUCGCUUACAAAUGGUCAUUUUGUGUGUUAGUAAA